This 4778-nucleotide long non-coding RNA is filed under the name Marmota monax (woodchuck). Lineage: Eukaryota; Metazoa; Chordata; Mammalia; Rodentia; Sciuridae. The record is from RNAcentral.
CCUCAGGGGCACGUGUGACCAUUUGCUUUUCUUCCCAGGUUUAAGAUGGCCGAGUCGGGACCCCGGGACCCCGGGAGGAAAGGGCUGGCCACAUGAGCCCUCCUGCCGCGCACCCGGGGCUUCCUCCAGGCUUCUCCACGGGCACCCAUCCUGGCGAUCCCCCGGCGUGGCCCUGCCUCUGUCAUGUCCACUGGGAUCCAGUCUACAGGGGGAGCUUCCCUGGGCCUCACGUACAAGUGCUGGACGAGAGGUGACAAUUGCUUAUUUUUCCUGCUUUAUUUCUGUCCAGAGAAAUGCCCGUAGGCCCUUCAUCCAGGCAGCCACAUUCACAGGCCAGUUGUCACGUGCUCCUGUAGGAUCUAGCAACUCCACAGCAUCACAACCCUGAGCAGUGACCGUCCCUGAACCUCAGGCCCCUCCUGCCUCCCCACAGUUAAUGCUGGAACAAAAAGGCAGGGCUCACAGUUGAGGUCCCUGUCCUCGUCUUUCUGAUGCGGGUGUCCUCACUACCCUUCCCCAGGACCCCAUCUCUGCAUCGCAGUCUGAGCACGAGGGGACAGCUCUACGGGCCUCCUUCCCAGCCCUUGCCCCCCAGCCUCAGGGCUGCAAGCUGAGGUUCUGGCUGUGGAGGUGUGCUGAGGUGGACAGAGAGGUAGUAGAGAGACACGAGUCUCUUUCAAGUUGUGACUCUUCCAAUUCCUUUACCCGAUGGACAUCAGUGGCUAGUGGAACCCACAGGGCUCUGCAGCGUGAGACGCCCUUCCUCCCACAGUGCAAUAGAUGGCAUUCGGUGAUCGGCUGUUUCAGGGAGUCCCAGGCUCAGUUAGGUGGCCACCCUGGGGCUUCCCCGCAGCCCCUCUGGCCACUCCCUCUGCCUCCUGGCUGGCUCAGCUGUACUCUGGAACUGCCCAGUCCUUGUGAGUGAGGACAGGCCCCAAGAUGCCAAGAGAUGGAAGACAGGUGCCAAUCGGAGACUCUGCAGAGGGCGACCUCCUGGGGGCUGGCUGGCGAAAGGUAGCCCUGGGGGCAGAAGGACCAGCUGGAUCCCCACAAUUUGGUCAGAAAGAGGGGCAUACUUAUGGGCAAGGACAGAAGUGACCAUCUUGGCUGAAAUGCACCUGGCUUACCUUGAGGUGAUAUGGAAGUGUUGGGUGCGUCCCUGGAGCAGGGCCUUGCUUUGAGGUGCCACAGUCAACUCUGGUGCCUUUGUUUACACAGGUUUCCUGGGAGACUCUUCAGGAAAAAUGGACUUGGACAACCCUGGAGUUAGAGACAACAGGGCUGCGGUCACUUCCCCACAAGUGGCCCUGGCCCUCGCUGCGUCUGGGGUGUGUCGGAGAAGGAGAAGCCUGGGACACUCUGUGUCCAGCAAGGGCUGGCCACACCUCCUGGCUGCUCUGCUUGGUGGACGGCCCCUGUCAUCUCCAGGUUGCUGCAAUGGCCCACGUGACCCAGGCUCUGUGGGCUGAGGCCUGGACGUGGCUCCUGGUCUCACCUUUGUGGAUCUGUGGCUUUGAGGGAAUGACCCAUCCUCCCUGGGCCUCAGUCCACCACCUCCCAUGGGACUGACAGUUCACAGCUCAGUUCCUGGGUAGAGCAGGUGCUGGCCCAGGACUUCCUUCCACACCCCUUCCUAAGGAGCCCUCCACUGUCUGUCCACCUGCCCUGGCCAUCUAGAGCUACUGGACACCAACUGAUGCUUGUCCAAACUCUGCCUGCAGAACCACGUAGUGGGAAAUGUUCCUCUCAGACAUUCUCGUGGACUGUGCUCUAUGAUUGCUGACUGGGACACACAGCCCGGUGCUCAACACGAGGAAUCAGGUGGAAAGGGGCUAUCGGCCCUCAUAUUUCUCACAUGGAUUUGUCCCUGGUGUGCAGGACAGCUGCUUUCAGGUUGCGCCUGGCCUGAGUGACUCCAUAGUGUGUAGGAUAGCCGCUCUCAGGCUGCGCCUGCCCUGGUGACUCCAUGGUGUGCAGAACAGCAGUCCUCAGGCUGUGCCUGCCCUAGUGACUCCAUGGUGUGUAGAACAGCAGUCCUCAGGCUGCGCCUGCCCUAGUGACUCCAUGGUGUGUAGAACAACAGUCCUCAGGCUGCGCCUGCCCUAGUGACUCCAUGGUGUGUAGGACAGCAGUCCUCAGGCUGUGCCUGCCCUAGUGACUCCAUGGUGUGUAGAACAGCAGUCCUCAGGCUGUGCCUGCCCUAGUGACUCCAUGGUGUGUAGAACAGCAGUCCUCAGGCUGCGCCUGCCCUAGUGACUCCAUGGUGUGCAGGACAGCAGUCCUCAGGCUGUGCCUGUCCUAGUGACUCCAUGGUGUGUGGAACAGCAGUCCUCAGGCUGCGCCUGCCCUGGUGACUCCAUGGUGUGCAGAACAGCAGUCCUCAGGCUGCGCCUGCCCUAGUGACUCCAUGGUGUGCAGAACAGCAGUCCUCAGGCUGCGCCUGCCCUGAGUGACUCCAUGGUGUGUGGAACAGCAGUCCUCAGGCUGCGCCUGCCCUGGUGACUCCAUGGUGUGUAGAACAGCAGUCCUCAGGCUGCGCCUGCCCUAGUGACUCCAUGGUGUGCAGAACAGCAGUCCUCAGGCUGUGCCUGCCCUGGUGACUCCAUGGUGUGCAGAACAGCAGUCCUCAGGCUGUGCCUGCCCUGGUGACUCCAUGGUGUGUAGGACAGCAGUCCUCAGGCUGUGCCUGCCCUAGUGACUCCAUGGUGUGUGGAACAGCAGUCCUCAGGCUGCGCCUGCCCUAGUGACUCCAUGGUGUGCAGGACAGCAGUCCUCAGGCUGCGCCUGCCCUGGUGACUCCAUGGUGUGCAGAACAGCAGUCCUCAGGCUGUGCCUGCCCUGGUGACUCCAUGGUGUGUGGAACAGCAGUCCUCAGGCUGUGCCUGCCCUAGUGACUCCAUGGUGUAGAGACGAGCAGUUUGUCAUGACCUGUGACAUAGCCCAGGUCACAUGUGACACAUUACCCACCAAUCUGAAGCUCCUCUAACCCUUUCUCAGUUUCCCAUGACCUACUUCUUUUUUUUUAAAGAGAGAGAGAGAGAGAGAGAGAGAGAGAGAGAGAGAGAGAGAGAAUUUUUAAAUAUUUUAUUGUUUUUUAGUUUUCAGCGGCACAACAUCCUUUUAUUUGUAUGUGAUGCUGAGGAUCGAACCCAGCGCCGCAUGCAUGCCAGGCAAGCGCACUACCACUUGAGCCACAUCCCCAGCCCAUGACCUACUUCUUAUGUAUCACUCUGUGACGUGUGUGUGACUGUUGUCUUUGGAUAUUAGAAAUUAAGAGUGGAAUAAAAGAAUCUGUGAUUGUCGUGCUCAUGACUACCAGGUAACCUAGGGGUAUUCAGUGAAUUGCCACAAAGGAAAGUGGGCAGCCUGUGAAUUUAUUGUUGCUCAGUGAAUGCCGACAUUGCAGAAAGAUACAGACGUGUUUGGUCUAUUUUAAUGACAUAGCUCACUCACGACAGUGGACAAGGACAGCAAGCAGGCCUAGGAUUGGCCAGUUUGAGGGAUUUCAGGACCCUGGAGCCCAGGGGCUGCCUGGUUGUCCAGCACCACCCUGGAGGGGUGGUCACAGUUUAGGGGAACCCAGGGUGGGCGUGGGCUCUGCACUGAAUGGCGGAGUAGUGCUUUACCAUCCCUAGGAAUUAGCUGCCUGAGGGUCAGUGAGGCCCUAGAUGCUCAGGCAGCAGGCACACAGAACAGACUGGGAACGCAGGGGCCACGGUGCGCUGUUAAGGAGAGCGUGGGCCUGAGGCCUUGACUCUCUACCUCCUGACCCUUUCCUGGGUGGGGUCUUGCCUGGCAGGGAAGGAGGGGCUGCCCCCUGGCCCCGCAGGCUGCAGCUUGGGGUCAGCCUUCUUGGUCUCUGGAAGCCUCAGUUUCCCCCGGGUUUCUAUGAGGUCCUGUGACAUCGCCCAGGUCACGUGUGUGACCAUUACCCACAGCAGAUCACAGGCAGAGCGUUAUGGCUUCUGCCACCUGCGGAAGCCACUUGCUUAAAAGAAAAACACUCUGAUUAAAGCAGCCGAGCCGUGCCCUUCAGUGACCACGCCUGGGGUGGCAGGAGGCAGGACGGGCGCGUGGGAAGGCCCUGGGGGCAAGCGCAGCCUCUGGAGCGGGUCGCUCCGGGGCAGGUGGAGGGGCCCGGGUCAGAGACCCCCACACCUGGGCUGAGAGGAGGAGCAGCUCAAGGCAGGUCACAGAGCUGGCCCUCGCCCGCGGCCCCACAGGCUGAGGCUUCUCCCGGUGGCUCAGCUGCUGACUGGGCACAGGGAGGAGUGAGCGGGUCCUCCCAGCUACCCAGGACCCAGCGCCAGGACCACCUCAAGCUUGCAACUGAGCGCAGGGGGGAGGUGGGCAGAGGGCGUCUUCCUGGGCCCUGCCCCGAGUCCUGGGCCUGGAGCCCGUCAGCGCUCCCUGCAGGCCUGGGGAGGGGCUAUGGUGACAGGGGCUCCCUGGGAUGUUGGCCGCCCCUGCAGACACCCUGUUCCCGGGAAGUCUGUCCUGCCCUAGGCACAGUGGGUGGGUCCUGGUGGACGCUGGCCUGGCCCUCAGGCCAUGUCUUCCUAGGACCCUGAGCCUCCUCCUGGUCUGGCUUUGUCUGAGCCUUGGGGAGGGGCCACCUUGGGGAGUGGACCUCAGGGUCAUGCAGGGUGAGGGCUGGGGGGGAGGGUGGCUGGGGUGCAUGGUGGGCCCUCGUGGCUCUGGGGCAGAAGGGGAGGAGCAGCCAGGUGAGGUGAGAGGUGUGGCCAGGUGGCCAGGUGGGCAGUCAGGCUGCCUUGCCC